This 497-nucleotide ribosomal RNA is filed under the name uncultured bacterium. RNAcentral's name for it is "partial 16S ribosomal RNA". It matches the Rfam family "Bacterial small subunit ribosomal RNA", at positions 28 to 507 of the family's 1533-position model. The record is from RNAcentral.
GAUGAACGCUGGCGGCGUGCCUAAUACAUGCAAGUCGAGCGAACAGACGAGGAGCUUGCUCCUCUGACGUUAGCGGCGGACGGGUGAGUAACACGUGGAUAACCUACCUAUAAGACUGGGAUAACUUCGGGAAACCGGAGCUAAUACCGGAUAAUAUAUUGAACCGCAUGGUUCAAUAGUGAAAGACGGUUUUGCUGUCACUUAUAGAUGGAUCCGCGCCGCAUUAGCUAGUUGGUAAGGUAACGGCUUACCAAGGCAACGAUGCGUAGCCGACCUGAGAGGGUGUUCGGCCACACUGGAACUGAGACACGGUCCAGACUCCUACGGGAGGCAGCAGUAGGGAAUCUUCCGCAAUGGGCGAAAGCCUGACGGAGCAACGCCGCUUGAGUGAUGAAGGUCUUCGGAUCGUAAAACUCUGUUAUUAGGGAAGAACAAAUGUGUAAGUAACUAUGCACGUCUUGACGGUACCUAAUCAGAAAGCCACGGCUAACUACGUG